GGGAAUGUAGCUCAGUGGUAGAGCACUUGUCAGAAUGUGUAAGGCCCUGGGUUCAAUUCCCCAGUCUCA
RNAcentral lists this transfer RNA (69 nucleotides) under Ictidomys tridecemlineatus (thirteen-lined ground squirrel). RNAcentral's name for it is "Spermophilus tridecemlineatus (thirteen-lined ground squirrel) tRNA". It matches the Rfam family "tRNA". Rfam says of the family: Transfer RNA (tRNA) molecules are approximately 80 nucleotides in length. Their secondary structure includes four short double-helical elements and three loops (D, anti-codon, and T loops). Further hydrogen bonds mediate the characteristic L-shaped molecular structure. tRNAs have two regions of fundamental functional importance: the anti-codon, which is responsible for specific mRNA codon recognition, and the 3' end, to which the tRNAs corresponding amino acid is attached (by aminoacyl-tRNA synthetases). tRNAs cope with the degeneracy of the genetic code in two manners: having more than one tRNA (with a specific anti-codon) for a particular amino acid; and 'wobble' base-pairing, i.e. permitting non-standard base-pairing at the 3rd anti-codon position. Lineage: Eukaryota; Metazoa; Chordata; Mammalia; Rodentia; Sciuridae. The record is from Rfam by way of RNAcentral. RNAcentral also lists the same sequence under 1 other name.